UACGGGGGGCGCAAGCGUUGUUCGGAUUUACUGGGCGUAAAGGGCGCGUAGGCGGCGCAACAAGUCACUUGUGAAAUCUCCGGGCUUAACCCGGAGCGGCCAAGUGAUACUGUCGUGCUAGAGUGCGGAAGGGGCUACUGGAAUUCUCGGUGUAGCGGUGAAAUUCGUAGAUAUCGGGAGGAACACCAGGGGCGAAGGCGGCGACCUGGGCCAAUAUUGACGCUGAGGUGCGAAAGCGUGGGGAGCAACAGG
RNAcentral lists this ribosomal RNA (252 nucleotides) under uncultured bacterium. RNAcentral describes it as "partial 16S ribosomal RNA". It matches the Rfam family "Bacterial small subunit ribosomal RNA", at positions 524 to 775 of the family's 1533-position model. The record is from RNAcentral.